This 253-nucleotide ribosomal RNA is filed under the name uncultured bacterium. RNAcentral's name for it is "partial 16S ribosomal RNA". It matches the Rfam family "Bacterial small subunit ribosomal RNA", at positions 524 to 776 of the family's 1533-position model. The record is from RNAcentral.
GACGGAGGAGGCAAGCGUUAUCCGGAAUUAUUGGGCGUAAAGCGUCCGCAGGCGGCUUUUUAAGUCUGUUGUCAAAGCCCACAGCUCAACUGUGGAUCGGCAAUGGAAACUGGGAGGCUAGAGUGUGGUAGGGGUAGAGGGAAUUCCCGGUGUAGCGGUGAAAUGCGUAGAUAUCGGGAAGAACACCAGUGGCGAAGGCGCUCUACUGGGCCACAACUGACGCUGAGGGACGAAAGCUAGGGGAGCGAAAGGG